AUUGUCACUUAUCUCAUUUCCAUUUCGAUAAAUAAUAGAUGUAGUACUAAUGACUGUAACCCCUUCUCAGCUCGAAGGGAAAGAAAGCUAUAACAUGAAUCAUAACCUCAUUAUUAAAUCCUCACUAAAACAUGUUUAUUAGCAAUAUACUUUGCCUUUUCUAUUCUUAACACGAAACACUGCAACAACAAAAAGCCAUAACUAAAAGGACCAAUUUUUAAGUUAAUAAAGUAAUAGAUGGGCAUUUACACUAACUGGGUGAAACAGGACCCAAUAGGAAAUAGUUAGCAUAAUUAAAUUGGGGAUGGCAUUUAAUUGUUCUAAUAUUUUAGGUUGGGACUUAGGGAAAUUGGGGAGGAGGGAUCCUGAACUUGGAGCAGCCAGCCUCCACGAUGGGGAUGUCCCGACGGUGGGCUCUGGUGGAGGAAGGCGUUGGCGCUGCCAUCCAAAGCCAAAACGAAUGGCGAUGCUCCGGGAGUCUCCGUCCAUGGUGGUCGUCGCGUCCUGCGGCGGAGGAGCUGCGAGGGUAGCCCCACCUUCUUCUUCUCUGACGAAGCCUCCGGCAUAUCAUUGGGCUCCCAAUGUAUCCAUUGCAGACAGGUAUGCAUUUGUUUAUUCUCCUCCCUCGUGAGACCAAAUGGGUCGCGCAUGCAUUUCUGGUGAAGCAUGUUGCUUCUUCCAUUGCCGGUUAUGGAGGAUGGGGAUGGGUAUGGCCAUCCUUCAUCCAUAUUAGUUCAGACUAGCCUUAAAUCAUUUAGGUGUGAUGGGUUUCAACCCAAUAGAAACCGGGUUAAAAAAAACUAGCCUCUUAUUGCCCCGUUUUGAUAUUGACCGAGAUUGUUGUUUCUUUUGUUUGUUGAACAUAUGAAUACCAGACUAGCAAAGUAUUAUUUUUGGUUCAUUCAUUAAUUUUAUGAAAGCAUGUUGUUGGUUAAGAUAGUAUGAUAUCUUUGUUUUUUAGAGGACAAAAAAAAUGCUUAUGAAUGUGUGGUUAUGAAAGCACAUUGUUGGUUAAGAUAUUAUGGUGUCUUUUGUUUUAGCAUGCGUGGGAUUAUUAAGUGCAGAUGUUGUGUAUGAUAUGAGUAUCUAUGUUAUAAAUAGAAAAACAUGCUUAUGGAUGUAAUUUUAUUGAAUCGUUUUUCAACAAUUAGAAUGAUGUUGUAUGAGAAUUCUUAAGGAUGCAGUAACAAGUAGUAACCUGGAUUUGCAGAUACUAUUAUUGCUUGCCUUAUACUUGCCUGUCUCCUACCCACCGAUGUUGUGCAACCGGCUGAGAGUUGAAGAAUCCCUGCCCUUUUCGGGAUGUAUAUUUUUUGUUUUUUUAUAUGUAUCGAUACUGAUCGUACGCUACUUUUUCACUCAGAUUGGAUAUGCUCUUAACUUACUAUUAUUCGUACUUCCUAUCCCUUGUUUUAUUGACUUAGUUCUCCCUCUUUGAGUUGCUUUUUACAUGUAUGAAGUGUUCUUUUUCUCUCUGAGUCCUUUUCUAUGUAUGAGCAUUGUGUUUUUUAUAGAAAAAGAGGAAAUCCUUUCUUUUAAAGCAUUGGAGGAAGUUAAGG
RNAcentral lists this long non-coding RNA (1559 nucleotides) under Lupinus angustifolius (narrow-leaved blue lupine). Its description in RNAcentral is "long non-coding RNA (LANG_LNC003447)". The record is from RNAcentral. Lineage: Eukaryota; Viridiplantae; Streptophyta; Magnoliopsida; Fabales; Fabaceae.